GACGAACGCUGGCGGCGUGCUUAACACAUGCAAGUCGAACGGUAAGGCCCUUCGGGGUACACGAGUGGCGAACGGGUGAGUAACACGUGGGUGAUCUGCCCUGCACUUCGGGAUAAGCCUGGGAAACUGGGUCUAAUACCGGAUAGGACUUCUGGCUUCAUGGUUGGGGGUGGAAAGCUUUUGCGGUGUGGGAUGGGCCCGCGGCCUAUCAGCUUGUUGGUGGGGUAAUGGCCUACCAAGGCGACGACGGGUAGCCGGCCUGAGCAGGGUGACCGGUCACACUGGGACUGAGAUACGGCCCAGACUCCUACGGGAGGCAGCAGUGGGGAAUAUUGCACAAUGGGCGCAAGCCUGAUGCAGCGACGCCGCGUGAGGGAUGACGGCCUUCGGGUUGUAAACCUCUUUCAGCUAUGACGAAGCGCAAGUGACGGUAGUAGCAGAAGAAGGACCGGCCAACUACGUGCCAGCCGCCGCAGUAA
This 479-nucleotide ribosomal RNA is filed under the name uncultured bacterium. Its description in RNAcentral is "partial 16S ribosomal RNA". It matches the Rfam family "Bacterial small subunit ribosomal RNA", at positions 28 to 523 of the family's 1533-position model. The record is from RNAcentral.